This 239-nucleotide unclassified non-coding RNA is filed under the name Pezicula alnicola. Its description in RNAcentral is "partial contains 5.8S ribosomal RNA, internal transcribed spacer 2, and large subunit ribosomal RNA". Lineage: Eukaryota; Fungi; Ascomycota; Leotiomycetes; Helotiales; Dermateaceae. The record is from RNAcentral.
CGCACAUUGCGCCCCUUGGUAUUCCGGGGGGCAUGCCUGUUCGAGCGUCAUUUCAACCCUCAAGCUUGGCUUGGUCUUGGGCGGUGCCGGCAACGGCUGGCCCUAAAAUCAGUGGCGGCGCCGCUCGGCUUCAAGCGUAGUAAUAAACCCUCGCUACUGAGACCUGCUGUGUGCUCGCCAGCAACCCCUUAUUUAUCAUGGUUGACCUCGGAUCAGGUAGGGAUACCCGCUGAACUUAA